Molecule: ribosomal RNA, 213 nt
Filed under: uncultured bacterium
Lineage: Bacteria
Description: partial 16S ribosomal RNA
Rfam family: Bacterial small subunit ribosomal RNA
Source: RNAcentral
AAUCAACGCUGGCGGCGUGCCUAACACAUGCAAGUCGAGCGAGAAAGGGGUAGCAAUACCCUGAGUAAAGCGGCGCACGGGUGGGUAACACGUGGGUAAUCUGCCCUAGAGUGGGGAAUAACACCGGGAAACCGGUGCUAAUACCGCAUACGGUUACGGGGUCUGCGGACCUUUUAACUAAAGGAGCAAUUCGCUCUUAGGAGGAGCCCGCGG